GAUGAACGCUGGCGGCGUGCCUAAUACAUGCAAGUCGAGCGAACGGACGAGAAGCUUGCUUCUCUGAUGUUAGCGGCGGACGGGUGAGUAACACGUGGAUAACCUACCUAUAAGACUGGGAUAACUUCGGGAAACCGGAGCUAAUACCGGAUAAUAUUUUGAACCGCAUGGUUCAAAAGUGAAAGACGGUCUUGCUGUCACUUAUAGAUGGAUCCGCGCUGCAUUAGCUAGUUGGUAAGGUAACGGCUUACCAAGGCAACGAUGCAUAGCCGACCUGAGAGGGUGAUAGGCCACACUGGAACUGAGACACGGUCCAGACUCCUACGGGAGGCAGCAGUAGGGAAUCUUCCGCAAUGGGCGAAAGCAUGACGGAGCAACGCCGCGUGAGUGAUGAAGGUCUUCGGAGCGUAAAACUCUGUUAUUAGGGAAGAACAUAUGUGUAAGUAACUGUGCACAUCUUGACGGUACCUAAUCAGAAAGCCACGGCUAACUACGUG
This 497-nucleotide ribosomal RNA is filed under the name uncultured bacterium. Its description in RNAcentral is "partial 16S ribosomal RNA". It matches the Rfam family "Bacterial small subunit ribosomal RNA", at positions 28 to 507 of the family's 1533-position model. The record is from RNAcentral.